UGUUUUGUGGCUUAGUUGAUUGAAGCGCCGGACUAGCAAUGCGGAGUCGGGAGUUUGAAUCCCACCAAAACAC
Non-coding RNA from Aedes albopictus (Asian tiger mosquito), 73 nucleotides. The record is from Rfam. NCBI's taxonomy places the organism in Eukaryota, Metazoa, Arthropoda, Insecta, Diptera, Culicidae.